UUGAUUGCUACAGAUUUAGUAAAUGACUAGAGAGUAGACCCCUUUGCUUCUCUGUUGCAAUUAUGAGUUAAGACCAUUAUGGAAAUGUGGAUUACAUUUGUUAUUUUCAAGUUGGAAAACUUUACAACUACAAAUUCCUUUGUAAGAUUUAUCAAGCCAGGUGAAGUCUGCGCUUCCUUGUUGCAGUCUAAUGUGCGCAUGGAUUUGUUGCAGUCAUCCAGUGAAAGGUGUGAUUAAAUUGAGCUGUUGCAUGCAGUCUUUGGUGCUGAUGUUGUCCUGGAGUGUGGGAGAGUCCCAUGCUUCAAGUCUUCUGGGAUCAGCUAUAUCUGAGUUGACGCUGGAUCAUGCUGCAUUGUGGUUGCCGAAAUGUUGGACAUCUAGUAGAACUGCAAGAAGACUCCUUGAAAUAGUUUAUGUUUACGAAGCAGUGAUGUUGCUGUCCAAUAUGGCAUAUGUUGUUGCAGCCUAUACUGGUGAAAGAUUUUUUGCAUCGAGUUAUGUUGUUGCUGUUCCUUGGUGCCGGACUGCUGGUGUUGUCCACAAAAGUUAUAUUCAGUUUUAAUUGUUAUUUGUGUCUAUGCAGUUAACCGUUUAUAUGUUGAAAAAGGAACAGAAAAGUUCCUUGGUGUUGAAUCGCUGGUGUUGUGCUACAUAAGUUACAUCCAGUAUUUUGUUUAAUUGCUAUUUGCGUCUAUGAAGUUAACCGUUUUUAUGUUGAGAAUGACAAAAAAUAGUAAUACGGGAACUUUUACGUUGAACAAAUAAUAAACAUAUCUUCGCGAUUGGGUAACCAGCGAGGAGGAGAUUGGGGGGGGGGGAGCAAUUGAUUUUCAUUACCAAGAAGAAGUCGUGGUUUGUUUUAAUAAGGUAGAAAUAAAAUCCUUUGUCUAUCACAUUCAUAUACCUACCUGUAUAACCAUAUCUAUUUCUCAAACCUCAUAACAUCCACCAACAUCCUUUCCUUAAACCCCAUAACUUCCACAAACAUCUAUUCCUUAAACCCACAUUUCCCCACAAAUAUCUGUAAUAUGUAAAGAUUAUUUUUUGAUAAAUAA
Daphnia pulicaria is the source of this 1055-nucleotide long non-coding RNA. RefSeq lists it as uncharacterized. The transcript has 3 exons. The record is from RefSeq and is a predicted model, not a curated record. Lineage: Eukaryota; Metazoa; Arthropoda; Branchiopoda; Diplostraca; Daphniidae.